UUGACUAAGGGUUCCUGGGUAAAGUUCGUCUUCCCAGGGUAAGUCAGGACCUAAGAUGAGGCCUAAAGGCGUAGUCGAUGGACAAUAGGUAUAUAAUCCUAUACCACCUAUAUAACUGAAGGAGUGAAGAAGGAGGCUAGCUAAAGCCAAUUAAUGGAUUUUGGUCUAAGCACAAAGGCUUGUACGGAGUAAAAUGCACGAUACAAAAGAGCUGAAGUGUGAUGGGGAAGUGAUACUUUCGGGUAGAGCGAAGUUAAGUGACGCCAAACUUCCAAGAAAAGCUUCUAGGGCUAAUUAUAUAGGUGCCUGUACCGAUAACCGACACAGGUGGUCAAGGAGAGAAUCCUAAGGUGAGCGAGAGAACUAUGGUUAAGGAACUCGGCAAAAUGACCCCGUAACUUCGGGAGAAGGGGUGGUCAAGAAGAUAAUGCAGUAAUGUAUGAAAAUAAAUUGACCCGCAGUGAAUAGGUCCAGGCAACUGUUUACCAAAAACACAGGUUUCUGCAAACACGAAAGUGGAAGUAUAGGAGCUGACGCCUGCCCAGUGCUGGAAGGUUAAAGGGAAGUGUCCGUAGCAAUACAAAGCACCGAACUGAAGCCCCAGUGAACGGCGGCCGUAACUAUAACGGUCCUAAGGUAGCGAAAUUCCUUGUCAGGUAAGUUCUGACCCGCACGAAAGGCGUAAUGAUCUGGAUACUGUCUCAACCAUAGACUCGGUGAAAUCUUAAUACCUGUGAAAAUGCAGGUUACCCGCGACAGGACGGAAAGACCCCGUGGAGCUUUACUGUAGCUUGAUAUUGGAAUUAGAUUGGUUAUGUAGAGGAUAGGUGGUAGACUAUGAAGUAUAGACGCAAGUCUGUAUGGAGUCGCCCUUGGAAUACCACCCUUGAUUAGUCCAAUUUCUAACCUAGUACCAUAAUCUGGUACAGGGACAGUGUCUGGUAGGCAGUUUGACUGGGGCGGUCGCCUCCUAAAGAGUAACGGAGGCGUUCAAAGAUUCCCUCAGAAUGGUUGGAAAUCAUUCGAAGAGCGUAAAGGUAUAAAGGGAGUUUGACUGUGAGACCAACAAGUCGAGCAGGUGCGAAAGCAGGACUUAGUGAUCAGGCGAUUCAGAAUGGAAUGGUCGUCGCUUAACGGAUAAAAGUUACCCCGGGGAUAACAGGCUGAUACCACCCAAUAGUUCACAUAGACGGUGGUGUUUGGCAC
RNAcentral lists this ribosomal RNA (1206 nucleotides) under metagenome. Its description in RNAcentral is "bacterial LSU rRNA". It matches the Rfam family "Bacterial large subunit ribosomal RNA", at positions 1341 to 2524 of the family's 2925-position model. The record is from RNAcentral.